AUCCAAAUUCAAAGAAAAAAAUUAGAAAACAGGUAUGCAAUUUGAUCACAAUCUGAAUUUCAGCAUAUGUCAAUUUCAGCACAUAAAUUAGAUCUUUAUGGUUUUAUAUUUUUAUGCAUGUAUGAUUCAGAUUAAAAGUAUUUUAAUCUUAUAUUUCACUAUAGUGUUUAGAAAAUAAAGUUUUGAAACACACAUGCAUGCCCCAAACCUCAAAUUUCAAUAGUAGUAUCAGAGCCACGGGUUUCAUAUUGCUGAAAUUAUCAUACAUAUUUUGAAAAAAAUUUCAAAAUCUAAUUUUUUUUGAUACAUGAGAUGUAUAGAUAAAUCUUUGAAUCUGAUAUUUUAUUUUAUAUUUGAUUUUAGAAUAUAUAGAUAAUAUGUCAAAGCAUGCAU
This 393-nucleotide long non-coding RNA is filed under the name Elaeis guineensis (African oil palm). RNAcentral's name for it is "long non-coding RNA (EGUI_LNC064770)". Lineage: Eukaryota; Viridiplantae; Streptophyta; Magnoliopsida; Arecales; Arecaceae. The record is from RNAcentral.